This 253-nucleotide ribosomal RNA is filed under the name uncultured bacterium. RNAcentral describes it as "partial 16S ribosomal RNA". It matches the Rfam family "Bacterial small subunit ribosomal RNA", at positions 524 to 776 of the family's 1533-position model. The record is from RNAcentral.
UACGAAGGUGGCAAGCGUUACUCGGAAUUACUAGGCGUAAAGGGCAGGUAGGCGGUUUGAUAAGUCCGUUGUGUCAGCUCCCGGCUUAACUGGGAGAGGUCAACGGAAACUAUCAGGCUUGAGUGUGGGAGAGGGUACUGGAAUUCCUGGUGUAGCGGUGAAAUGCGCAGAUAUCAGGAGGAACACCAAUGGCGAAAGCAAGUACCUGGACCACUACUGACGCUCAGCUGCGAAAGCUAGGGGAGCAAACAGG